CGCCGUCGACCGAGGGCCAUCUUGAUGCUGGGUCGACGUCUUUUGUGAGAGAUUCGUGGCAAUGCCACUUUUCUUGAUGCUGGGUAGAAAUGGAAGGUUCGUCAAAGCGGUCGAGAUUUAUUGGUUGAUGACUGAAUCAAGAGGGCCUUCUGGUAGGUUCUUGCUGCUGGGCAUGCAUUGAAGAUGCUGUCAAAAAAUGUGCUCGGCGACAUUACAGAUGUAAUCAUUGGUGUUUCGUUCCCAAAUGCAUGGCGAGCCACUAAACCAGACGGACAGCGAGCGAUGUACCCGGUACCCGACUCAUUCAAUGUAUAUGCCAGCUACAUAGGCAGCCAAGAGAUGGUUCGGGAUAGUUACGCUCCUGCGAAGGACUGACUAAGAACUGGAACAACUUGAGCUGAAGGAGAGCAGAUCAAGUCAUGACCGGAUGCCUCGUCCUAUUGGAUGGUCACUUGUACCCGAUAGGCUGUGGAAACAAUAUUUACCCGGUCGCCAUGUCCCUCGAAUCAGUCGACCAACCCGUUUCAAGCGAACUGGUUUUGAAGGCGCAAAUGGCUAGCUUUUGUUUAGGUUAUUUCCACGCAUAGUGAGGUCUCUCUUGAGUUUCUUUAAGCAGGCAGAACACUGGUAUUUUGUUGGGGAUUUGCUGAAACAGGUUGUGCAAAUGGCUUGGUAUUGCACUAUUGGGAGACACUCACUCUGUACAAGUUACGAAUUCAAGUUGUGGUGGAGUAUUUGGCUCCUCAUUUACCAAAUUGUAAAUUUCUUUUUUGAGAUAGUGGAUUCAAACUCCUGGCGAGGCUCGGGGAGUGGAUGUAGGCACUGAAUUUGGGCCGAACCACUAUAAGUCGACCAGGCAAAUUCUCUUUCCUUGC
Long non-coding RNA from Syzygium oleosum, 875 nucleotides. RefSeq lists it as uncharacterized. The record is from RefSeq and is a predicted model, not a curated record. NCBI's taxonomy places the organism in Eukaryota, Viridiplantae, Streptophyta, Magnoliopsida, Myrtales, Myrtaceae. The transcript has 3 exons.